Molecule: non-coding RNA, 126 nt
Organism: Myotis lucifugus (little brown bat)
Lineage: Eukaryota; Metazoa; Chordata; Mammalia; Chiroptera; Vespertilionidae
Source: Rfam
UGUGCACCAGAGGGGUCCCUCAGCCUGGCCUGCACCCUCUCACAAUCCAGGACCCCGCAAGCGAUGUCAGAGAGCUGUUUUUGGCCUGAUCAUGCAGGCCAGGCCGAGGGACCCCACUGGUGCAUG